UACCCUUGACAUGGAAGGAAUCCUCCAGAGAUGGAGGAGUGCUCGAAAGAGAACCUUCGCACAGGUGCUGCAUGGCUGUCGUCAGCUCGUGUCGUGAGAUGUUGGGUUAAGUCCCGCAACGAGCGCAACCCUUGUCAUUAGUUGCUACGAAAGGGCACUCUAAUGAGACUGCCGGUGACAAACCGGAGGAAGGUGGGGAUGACGUCAAGUCCUCAUGGCCCUUAUGGGUAGGG
Molecule: ribosomal RNA, 233 nt
Filed under: uncultured bacterium
Lineage: Bacteria
Description: partial 16S ribosomal RNA
Rfam family: Bacterial small subunit ribosomal RNA
Source: RNAcentral